GGCGUGCAGCAUCGGUACGGCGAACUGAUCAUCGCCUAUUACAAGAGCGGCUUCACCGAUCAGUCGCUGUUCAAGCUCGACAAUCUUUAUCUCUACGGCGGGUUGUUCGAUCUCCUGGGGCUUGGCUUAAGCGCCAUCAUCCCGGUCCAUCAGUAUCAACNNNNNNNNNUGUGUGCGCUGAUCGGCAUCGGCGGGAUCGCCGCCGCGGGCGCCACCACACGGCUGAUCGC
Molecule: unclassified non-coding RNA, 230 nt
Filed under: Hevea brasiliensis (rubber tree)
Lineage: Eukaryota; Viridiplantae; Streptophyta; Magnoliopsida; Malpighiales; Euphorbiaceae
Source: RNAcentral